CGGGUGGUAAUGCCGGAUGUUCCAGUUGAUCGCAUGGUCUUCUGGGAAAGCUUUCGCGGUAUGGGAUGGGGUCGCGUCCUAUCAGCUUGACGGCGGGGUAACGGCCCACCGUGGCUUCGACGGGUAGCCGGCCUGAGAGGGCGACCGGCCACAUUGGGACUGAGAUACGGCCCAGACUCCUACGGGAGGCAGCAGUGGGGAAUAUUGCACAAUGGGCGCAAGCCUGAUGCAGCGACGCCGCGUGAGGGAUGGAGGCCUUCGGGUUGUAAACCUCUUUUAUCGGGGAGCAAGCGAGAGUGAGUUUACCCGUUGAAUAAGCACCGGCUAACUACGUGCCAGCAGCCGCGGUAAUACGUAGGGUGCAAGCGUUAUCCGGAAUUAUUGGGCGUAAAGGGCUCGUAGGCGGUUCGUCGCGUCCGGUGUGAAAGUCCAUCGCUUAACGGUGGAUCCGCGCCGGGUACGGGCGGGCUUGAGUGCGGUAGGGGAGACUGGAAUUCCCGGUGUAACGGUGGAAUGUGUAGAUAU
RNAcentral lists this ribosomal RNA (525 nucleotides) under Bifidobacterium longum subsp. infantis. RNAcentral's name for it is "bacterial SSU rRNA". It matches the Rfam family "Bacterial small subunit ribosomal RNA", at positions 157 to 697 of the family's 1533-position model. Lineage: Bacteria; Bacillati; Actinomycetota; Actinomycetes; Bifidobacteriales; Bifidobacteriaceae. The record is from RNAcentral.